AAUAACUCAAUAUUCUUUAAAGUGCCUGAAGUUCCCAAACCUGUCCCAGAAGAGAAAGUCCCUGUUCCUAAAAAGGUGGCAGCUCCUCCAGAGAAAGUGCCUGAGGUACCCAAGAAAGUUGUCCCUGAAAAGAAGGUACCAACUGCUCCUCCUAAAAAAGUAGAGGCUCCACCUGCCAAAGUGCCUGUGGUACGUAAGAAACCCAUCCCUGAAGAACAGGUCACUGUUGAAAAAUACUUCUAUGAAGAAUAUGAGAAAUAUGAGACCUAUGAGAAGACUGAGGAGUUUCUUCAGGUAGAAGAGGGUGAAGAACCUGAAGAAUAUGAGGAAGCCCCAGAACCUGAAAGAUAUGAAGAAGCUCCAGAAGAACCUGAAGUCGAGCAAUACGAGGAAGCUCCAGAAGAAUUUGAACAGUAUGAAGAAGCUCCAGAACCGGAGGAACUUGAGUACUAUGAAGAGGUUCGGGAGACCAAGGAGAUUGAAGAAUAUGAGGAAGUGUAUGAGGUUCCACCAGCAAUAGGUAUAUUAAUCAUUUACCUGGUGUUUGUUGCUGCCCUGAAAUUGAACCUUCUUUUGAAUGCCCAAAUUUCCCCUCCCCCAAAAAUCCACCCCAGUGUUCCCUGCUUUUGUGCUUACAAGACUCCAUUUGAGGGACAGGUUUCCCAGAGUGGGUCAAACCACCUAUGCUUGUUACUGAAGAGUUCAAAAGCUAAUGAUGGGUGUGUCCUCCUUUAA
RNAcentral lists this long non-coding RNA (735 nucleotides) under Podarcis muralis (Common wall lizard). Its description in RNAcentral is "lncRNA (ENSPMRG00000003277.1)". Lineage: Eukaryota; Metazoa; Chordata; Lepidosauria; Squamata; Lacertidae. The record is from RNAcentral.